Molecule: non-coding RNA, 870 nt
Organism: Solanum lycopersicum (tomato)
Lineage: Eukaryota; Viridiplantae; Streptophyta; Magnoliopsida; Solanales; Solanaceae
Source: RefSeq, a predicted model, not a curated record
AUAUAUAAGCUAAACACAAAGAGUAUCAAUACAACACAGUUUUACAAAGUGGUACCAAUAGUAUUGAAAAUUGUACUCUACCAUUUAAGCCCUAUUCACUAUUGAAUAAACAUGCGUUCUUACGUGCUUUAGUUUUUAAUUCACAUUUGACUAUCGAAAUUAGAGGUAAUCUUUCAGUCUCAGUUUGGUUAUUUUUCUUUUAGAUAUUGAAUUCUUACUUAUUAAAGUCAAAAUUAUCUUUUAUUUUAUGUGCUUCCGAUUUGGGAAUUGGGGAAAGUUUACAGGGACGCCAUCAUUAUGAUAUGGAUGCAACAAGAAAGAAAGAACAUUAAGUAAAACUCACCAGAAAUCUUGUGAGUAUUUGACUUUUCCUUUAGCUGAUUUUGCACGUGCAUGUACUCAUUCACUAUUUUGUCUCAAUUUUUUAUGUAUAGAAUAUAUUACGAAGAAUUCAGUGAGAAUAUAGACUCUCUGAAAAUAUUUCUCAAAGAGUCCAUGGAGACAUGCCUUCGAUUUGUUUGUGUCACAAGUGGUUCUCUCUGCUGACUGUAAGAAACAGAACAAGGGGGAGCCAAACCAUGAAAAAGGGAAACACAUUCAACUUCUAAUUUUCAAGACUAAAGGGAACAACAAAUAGUAAUGUUUGGGCACAGAAGAGUUAGAUAUGUUGACACAUUACUAAAAUUUGAAUCAUAGUCCAGAUGUUGACACAUUAUUAGUAAUGUCUGUAGAUGCAGAAUGUUUCUAAAAACUUUGAGCACUCUUACUUUUUGAUUAUUUCGUUUGGGUGAAAAUUUGAGUCAAUAUUUUAUGUAGUUCACCUUAUCAAUGAUUUUGCAAAUGCUUGAGUGAAUACAAUUUAUUUCCUUA